This is a long non-coding RNA of Raphanus sativus (radish), 2200 nucleotides long. RefSeq lists it as uncharacterized. The record is from RefSeq and is a predicted model, not a curated record. NCBI's taxonomy places the organism in Eukaryota, Viridiplantae, Streptophyta, Magnoliopsida, Brassicales, Brassicaceae. The transcript has 5 exons.
CCAGUUUCACAACCUGUCCACCACCAUACUCAUGCUAUCAUCAGAAAACGUAAUAUCAAUCUGAAACUCACCAUCCUACAAGCUUUUAUUUCUGGAGUUUUGAGAAGAUAUGGAUUGACUGAUCAAUCUGGACUUUACCUGACUGGCAGAUACUGCAUUUUCUAUCAGUAAGAGUAUAUGAUACGGAACGGAUGCAUUAUGUAUAUGUCACUGACCAGAUCUUGCGCCUGGUUCCAAACAUUGAGGGUGUGGUGCGGUUUUGGGCCAAGCAAAGUGGAGUAUACUCUAAUGUCUGUGGAUUCCUUAUGUCAACUUUAACCUAACGCACUCCCAAAUAUGAUCCCUCGGUCUUCAAGUUUGGGAUCCUAGAAGAAAGGACCAAUUGCACAUGAUGCCCAUCAUUACUUCUGUUCAUCCUUGUAUGAACUCUAGUAAUAAUGUCUAUGCAAGUACAUUGCGGAUUAUGACUGGAGAGUUUCAGAGAGGCGAAGAUAUAUGUGAGGCUAUGGGAGCAAACAAAGCUGAUUGAGAUACCCUUUUUGAGCCAUUUGCAUUAUUUGAAGCUUAUGAAAACUUUAUUGCUUAUAAAAACUUUCUUCGGAUAGACAUCUCUGCCGCAAAUAUCAAUGAUUUAAGAAAAUUGAAAGGUUGUGUUGAGUCAUGUCUCGGACAGCUCACACUGAAGGUGACAACUCUUGUUUAUUCUCAAUUGAUAUAAAAGGGUAUUUGGUUAUUGGUUACUUGGAUAUAUACGUAUAUUUAGUAGAUUGAGAGAGACAUACUUACGACAUGCUUCAAUGCCACUCUUCAUCACACAAUCUUCAAGACGUAUCCCUGACCACUAUUGCUUUUUUUUCUUCUACACCAAGUGCAGCUACUGUUACUAAUGAAGCUAGUUCUGAAAGUAAAGGUGGUUCUAACAGUUCCGGAGAUGAGAAGAUGAUGAGACACUCACAGAUCAGUUAAAGAACUCCAAACACGUUGAUUUUUCAGUGCCUUUAGAAAAUGGUCAAGGCUGGAGCCCGAAUCCAUCUGAUGGAUCCAUUUGUUCAAGUCCUAUGAAAGAUUAUUGUACAAAUGGUAAAUCUGAUUCCAUCAGUAAGGAUCCACCAAAGACUGUUGUCGUUCUCAGUAAAGACACACCAGAGAGUCAGCCAAUUGAGAAGAUAGGCACUACUCUACUCCUCAAGCUCCCAAUCAAGAAACAGAGGAGCUUGAAGACAGCGUUGAUUUUGGAAAUCAAGUUAUUGAGCGAAUUUCUAAUAAAUACAGCAAUCUCGAAUACUACUGCAAUUAUUCCUCUAAAUGGUUCAUCAUUCUCUAAUGGAGGACUCGAAGAAUUCGAGAUUCUUUAUAUUUUUCUAAGACAGUUUUGAUCUUGUUCUUGUCUGAUUAUUUUCUUUAAUCUUAAUGGUUCUUCCAAUGCGAGGUGACGCAUAGAGCUUCAGUACACAGCCAAAGCCGAUAAUCAGGUUGGGCGCUGUUUGUUCCCCGAAAGCAGAGGAUAGCCACUGCUCAAGCUCCUAGUCAAGAAACAGAGGAGCUUGAAGACAGUUUUGAUUUUGGACAUCUUGUGACAGAGCAGAUUUCAAAUAAAGACGCAAUCUCGACGGCUACUGCAACUAUACCUCCAUUCUUUGCUACUACCUCUAAUAGAGCACUGGAAGAACUCGAGGUUCUUUUUGUUAUGAUUAAUUUCGAUACUCAUACUGUUGUCUGAUUUUUUUUUCUCUUUUAAUUCGUAUUCUUCCAAAGUUCCAAUGCUACAGCCCGAGGAGUUGCAUAGCGCUUCAGUGCAACAACGGAAACGGAUAAUCAAGUAUGUGGUUCGUAUAUUAGAUUUGACAAUGUUUACUUGCUCUUUUGUUGGCAGGUUAAAGUUCUCGUCUCUAGGCAAAACCAUCGGCAAGUAAUAAUGGUGUUUUUGCCUACAUGGCUAGAAUCUCUGAGCUUAUAAAAACUCAAGACGUCAAGUUGAAGGUUUUUUUUUUUUUUUUUUUUGAAGGGUUCUUCUUACUUUCUGUGAAAGAAGAUUUUUAUAUUAUAUGCUUUUCUUUGAUGUUAAAAGCUUUUAGUUCGAUGUAAAACACGUUCGGACAAGAAUUAUGUAAUGUCUCUCGUCUAUGUCCUGAAAAGUCUUCCAACUUCACAGAAAUAAAAUAGCAUCAAUAUACUAUACUAAAAGGUUAAUAAGAUCAAA